RNAcentral lists this ribosomal RNA (253 nucleotides) under uncultured bacterium. RNAcentral describes it as "partial 16S ribosomal RNA". It matches the Rfam family "Bacterial small subunit ribosomal RNA", at positions 524 to 776 of the family's 1533-position model. The record is from RNAcentral.
UACGAAGGGGGCUAGCGUUGUUCGGAAUUACUGGGCGUAAAGGGCGCGUAGGCGGUGCAUCAAGUCAGGCGUGAAAGCCCCGGGCUCAACCUGGGAACCGCGCUUGAGACUGGUGCGCUCGAGUUCGGGAGAGGAUGGUGGAAUUCCCAGUGUAGAGGUGAAAUUCGUAGAUAUUGGGAAGAACACCGAUGGCGAAGGCAGCCAUCUGGACCGACACUGACGCUGAGGUGCGAAAGCGUGGGGAGCAAACAGG